Oncorhynchus keta (chum salmon) is the source of this 480-nucleotide long non-coding RNA. RefSeq lists it as uncharacterized. NCBI's taxonomy places the organism in Eukaryota, Metazoa, Chordata, Actinopteri, Salmoniformes, Salmonidae. The transcript is spliced from 3 exons. The record is from RefSeq and is a predicted model, not a curated record.
GACUAGUCAAGGAACCUGACCCAGGAACCUGACCCAGAUUAAACCUAGCUUUAGGGGAGGUCGUCUGGCUGAGCACACUUUAUCAUCUACUGACUAGUCAAGGAACCUGACCCAGGAACCUGACCCAGAUUAAACCUAGCUUUAGGGGAGGUCGUCUGGCUGAGCACACUUUAUCAUCUACUGACUAGUCAAGGAACCUGACCCAGGAACCUGACCCAGAUUAAACCUAGCUUUAGGGGAGGUCGUCUGGCUGAGCACACUUUAUCAUCUACUGACUAGUCAAGGAACCUGACCCAGGAACCUGACCCAGAUUAAACCUAGCUUUAGGGGAGGUCGUCUGGCUGAGCACACCUUAUCAUCUACUGACUAGUCAAGGAACCUGACCCAGGAACCUGACCCAGAUUAAACCUAGCUUUAGGGGAGGUCGUCUGGCUGAGCACACCUUAUCAUCUACUGACUAGUCAAGGAACCUGACCCAGG